Long non-coding RNA from Etheostoma spectabile (orangethroat darter), 578 nucleotides. RefSeq lists it as uncharacterized. The transcript is spliced from 3 exons. NCBI's taxonomy places the organism in Eukaryota, Metazoa, Chordata, Actinopteri, Perciformes, Percidae. The record is from RefSeq and is a predicted model, not a curated record.
AUUCAGUUUGAAAACCUAACCGUUACAACCCCACACCAGUAGGGGGCCGCUGCUCUGAGCAGACCGAUUCCCCCGUUAGAAGAAGAGAAAGCCACAGGACGGACCACGCGGCCCAGCUCACGGAGAGAUGAAUCCGGAUGGAGACAUUUGAGGAGAAGAUGGAUUAUCUGCUCAUGCUCUACAGGAGCUCCAUGUCACCUCGCUCUGCUCCAAAUCACAGCGUGCCAUUUGCCCAACAGCAGCUGGGCCAAAUAUCCAGUUAAAAAAAUAUGGCUGUGUACAGAUUCCUACGCCAAAGCUGUGGACCGGUGUCGGCGGCUGAGGGACACCAGCAUCCAGACAGAAGAUGAAGCAAGUGUCCAAAAAAGGCAGCGCCGACGCCCAAGGAGGUUCAUGACAGAUUCUUCAAGUGAUGGUAAGACCUUUAUUAUAGACUACAUUUUUUCACAUAUUUCAAAUCACAGAUUUUGCAAUGGGUACACGCUAUAUGGUCUCUGUAUUACAGAUGAAUCUGUUGCACGACCAGAUAAACUGUCCAGGACGGAGCGUGCGUCUGGAAGCCCUGUCUGGAAGUUAAA